RNAcentral lists this ribosomal RNA (497 nucleotides) under uncultured bacterium. RNAcentral's name for it is "partial 16S ribosomal RNA". It matches the Rfam family "Bacterial small subunit ribosomal RNA", at positions 26 to 507 of the family's 1533-position model. The record is from RNAcentral.
GGGGGGGGGGGGGGGGGGGGCGGGGGGGGGGGGGGGGGGGGGGGAGGGGGGGAGCUGGCUCGGCGGACGGUAGCGGCGGACGGGUGAGUCACAGGUGGAGAGCCUGCCUAGAAGACUGGGCUAACGUCGGUAAGCCGGAGCUACGACCCGAUCAUAUCUUGCCGCGCAUGGUUCAAUACUUAAAGACGGUUUUGCUGCCACUUAUAGAUUGAUCCGCGCCGCAUUAGCUAGUUGGUAAGGUAACGGCUUACCAAGGCAACGAUGCGUAGCCGACCUGAGAGGGUGAUCGGCCACACUGGAACUGAGACACGGUCAAGACUCCUACGGGAGGAAGAAGUAGGGAAUCUUCCGCAAUGGGCGAAAGCAUGACGGAGCAACGCAGCGUGAGUGAUGAAGGUCUUCGGAUCGUAAAACUCUGUUAUGAGGGAAGAACAAAUGUGUAAGGAACGAUGAACGUCUUGACGGUACCUAAUCAGAAAGCCACGGCUAACUACGUG